UUAUCCAAUUCCAAUCGAUCGAUCGAUCGAUUGACCGAUUGCUAUGGCAAGCAGCAAGACUCGAUUGGUGUGCCUUGGUUGUGAUGUUUGUGAUGCUCCUGGCGGUGGGAGUGGAGGUCGGGGGGAUCACCAAGGCGGUGGCGCAGCGCUGCCGCAGGGGAUGGUACUGGAAUGGAUCUCGCUGCGUGCAAUGCAAUUGGUACUGGUAUGACAACGGCUGCCAUCGAUGCCAGCGUGGGUGGCGCUGGAAUGGCAGCCGCUGCGUCAAUUAAUGAAAGUUUGUGAGUGAUCUCUGGGGCCUGGAACCAUAGGAGCGAAUGUCGAAUGGGUGAAGAAGUACAUAGAAUAAAACUGUGGCUUCGAAACGAGAAUGUUUUGGAGUCCUAUAGAAUCUUGUGUGAAAUCUAUUCCGAUGUUCAGGCUCUGAGACUAUCAAUGAUAAAUAUGGUCUGUUUUCUGGAAAGUUGUCAGCCACAAUUAAAAGUGUAUUUAUACCUAUAUUACUGCCCUUUAAAGGCUUUUGGGUGAUGUUAACAAGUUUCUGCUAGCAUUGUUUGCAGAUAACUUUGCCGUUUGCUAGACUUGGUCUUAAUUUGGUUUUCUAAAUACAUAGUACUCUCGAUAAUACGGAAGUAAAGCUAUUUGUCCUUCCACAUCGACUUGACAAAGUCUGUCGUAGCUACACUGGUUAGCUAGCUCUGGAGACAUGUCUAUAUUAUAAUGUUGUUAGUGUUAUAUUGAUCGUGAGCCAAGCGUAAUCUUUAGAGAUUAAUAGAGAAAAUAUAUUACGCAGCUCAAACUAUUCUAAUGCCAGUUUUUCUGGCAACGGUGGCAGCCAUUGUCAUAAUAAACCACUGGGAAACAACCAAAUUCCGAUUCUUCCCACGUCAGCGUUUGUGAUCCACUCCCAUUACCAGGAGCACUUGUCCAUCGCCAUUGCUGCCACUCUGCAAGAGAAAAGAACAAAAAACCAUAAUCAAUCAAUACAAGUUUCCUUUCAGAUGAUCUUGGAUUCUUGUUCUUUUCGACUAUAUAGCAAAGCAAGACUCAACUGGUUUGCCUUGGGCUUGUUGCCAUGUUUGUGGCCAUGGGAGUGGACAUGCGAGGAAUCGCAAAGGUUGCUGCCAAGCGCUGCCAGUGGUACUGGUAUGGCAAUGGUUGUCACCGGUGCCCAAAAAGCUGGUAUUGGUAUGGCGGAAGUUGCCACUGAUGCCAGAGCGCCCCUGCUGGAAAAACAGAGAUCUCCGGGAUCAUGGAUAAGCACAAGAAUUAACAGCAUAACUCGUAAGGUUUUUCAUGUUCACCAGGAUCUUCUGAAUAUCUAUGCUGUUGUUUUAGAUCUUGUGUAUUAGAAUUAAAAAAAAAAUUCAUCCAAUGUAAAAAUGUUUUUUGUGUGAUCAGGUCAUUCAGCUUUUCUUGGGUGGCGGUUGUUUCUCUCCUUUUGUCAUGUUGGUGUUGUUAUGUAGCAAACUGAAUAGCAAGAAUAAUUGAUGCCGUAAACACAAAUACCAGUUUACGGCAUCAAUAGUUCUAGUAGAUCUAUACCAGUAUUUUAUUGUUUGGCGGUUUUUGGCCGGCGCCUGAUCUGCAAGCUCCAAAACCCAACCCGAUCAAGCCAAGAAAAAGCAAUAAUUUCAAGAGUAUGUGGCUUUGUCCUAACUAAAUAAUGUACUAGAAGCUCAUAAUAUAGUGGAUACGAACGCAUGUUGUACCAGAGAUCAGGUCAAGUUGUGUUGGAACAAACAUAAAACUACUAAAAAUUGUAUGAUUCAUUGAAAGAGUGAACAGAAGAAUCAUAUUCUUAUCAAUAUUUCUUCUUUCUGCUCCAAGUAUUAUAGGUCAAGUCGCGGAGGUAAUGGAGAAGUUGGUUUGCCACGAGAGACUUUUAAUUCAAAGAGUGUUGGAAACAAAGGUAUGCUCUCGAUCUGCGUCCCAGUGAUCGAUUAGAUCCAAUCUUUUGUUAAAGUAAAUAUAAUAUACGACCAUAAUAUUAACAGACUUCGUCAAAUCGAGAAGGAAGAAAACAAGAUUGGAAAGCUUUUUUUCCAUAUUACCUCGUCGUACUUAGGAAACCAAGUUGUCAACGAAUUUGAUCCUUCCCAAGACCAAGUCUCCAAGUAAAAUCCGCGCGUCAACCGCUGCCAAAAAACCACGAGGAAACUUUCUCGGUUGUUAUAGAGAGACUCCCUCUUCUAUCCAGAGGAUCCGCAAAGACUCGUUGUUCUUUUUACUUGCAGUAGCAGUGUGUUCAGAGGUAGGAUCUGGUCCAGCUACAAUUCGGACUUAUCUAAGUCUUGACGUGUACACAGUAGCACCCAGGAGGUAGUACCCAGGAGGCAGAUUUGAAUCUGAUCUCUUUUCCAGACUAAGUCUAGCUAACACGAUUGCUCGGUCGUUGCAAGGGGCGUAUAUAUAACGCGCCUCACUCGAUCAAGACGAAAUCACCACACUUUCACUUCUCUUAUAAUCCACAGGUUUUACUCUUAGAGUGGCAGCAAUAGCGAUGGACAAAAUUCGUCUGGCUUGCCUUGGGCUUGUUGCCAUGUUUGUGUUGCUCCUGGUAAUGGGAGUGGACGUGGGAGGAAUCGCAAACGCUGCUGCCCAGCGCUGCCAGUCGGGGUGGUAUUGGUAUGACAAUGGUUGCCACCGUUGCCCGAGGGGUUCGAGCUGGCGCAACAAUCGCUGCUGGAGAAACUGAAGCCUCUGCUUUUAAGGGUAAGCGCAAUUCUCAAUUCAACUCGUAAUCUCUAUGAGUGCAUUGCCAGGGUCUGGAAAUAAGAAUAAAAGACACCGGACGGUAACAUGUUUGUGUGGAACAAAUAAAAUUUUUUUUUGUCUUUUUCUUUCUUUUUUUUCUUUUUUGCUUCAUCUCGAGAGUUUUGAGCUCCCGUGGCAAUACUUCCUCAUCGUCUAGCAACCUUUCUUCUUGGUUUACAAACUAGAAAAUUAAGCUUUUUGGAUCAAUGGCUCAUCUUCGUGUUGGGAAUGGAACCCAUGUUAUGAGACAACCACAUGAUUUGCAGCUGGAAGUAACUCGCAUGAUGAAGGCGGCUACGAACGCAUUAUCGAGCAACAUCAGGUUCGAGAUAGUCGGAGGACCUCUUUCUUUUCGAUUCGGUGCCACAGAUAAUCACGCAAGUAGCAGGAUGACUCAUGCCUCGAGGUGAGACAAUCGAUGCUACUGGCUGAUCGCAAAUUGAUCGACCACGUGGUAGAAGUGAUUCCAAACACUCCAGCCAAAUUUUCAUUAAUAUCAUAUAUUAAAUCGACAAUAAGAGCUGAGGGUGUCUAUAUACUCGAGCAACUAUUGCCUGAUAAAUCUAACCAGAAUUAUAUAACAUUAAAAUAGCAUUAAUAAUGAAAUUAACAUUAUAUUAUAGAGAUAUAUGAGUGUAUACUAUUAAGUCGAUGUGGAACGACGAAAAGCGUAUUAGAAAACCAAAUUGUCAAUAAAUCUGAUCCUUCCCAAGACCAACCGAUGAGCCACAAAGUUACCCACAAACAAUGCACGUGGAAACUUGCUUCGUCGCAAGGUGAGUAUAUAGAUACCCCUCUCAGGAGAGGUUUCCACAAUCUCUCUUCUAACAGAUUCAGUGCUCAGAAGAUCUUCGAAGAAGCUCUCUAAUGCUUAUUUGGUUUCUUGUUCUUUUCGCUUGCAAUAGCGGUCCAGCGAUGAGGAAGAGUCAGUUGGUUUGCCUUGGGCUUGUUGCCAUGUUUGUGAUGAUGCUGGCCAUGGGAGUGGAAGGGGGAGGAAAGGUUGCUGCCCAGCGCUGCCAGAGAGGGUGGUACUGGUAUUACAAUGGUUGUCAUGACUGCCCGAAAUGCUGGUAUUCCAAAGCGGCUGGAGCUGGGCCAAUGGCCGCUGCUGGAAAAACUUAGAUAUCCGUAGUCAUGCCAAAAGUCUAUCAACAUCAUAAUUCGGAAGGUUUUGUUUGAAUGAUGUAAGAUCCUCCUAAAUCCUAAUUAGGAUAAAACGAUUGUUUGUGAUCUGUUUAAUUUCAUCUGGAGUAGAUUCUUGUCUCCAGUCACGGAGCUUUUCUUGCGUGGCAAUUCUUUGGUUGUUAUAUAGCAAACAGAACAGCAAGAAUUAUGUUACUGAUCUUUAAGUUUUUUGCGGUAUUUGGCCAGCGCUGGUGUUCGGAUAAGAUAAGAAUUGCCUGGUCUGCAAGCUCCAAAAACCGAUCAAGCCAAGAGAAUCUGGUGUAUGUGGUUUUGUCCUUUAAAGUCCACAGGAAUGUACUAACACGAACGCAUGUUGUACAAGAGAUCAGGCCAAGUUGGAACAAACGUAUUACUAAAAACUAUAUGAUUUAUCGAAAGAGUGAACAGAAUUACAUAGCUAGCCAAUGGUCAUAUUUUUAUUCUUUCGUUGGUCCAAGUCAAACAGUGUAAAAGUCUGUAAAGAAAAAAACACAUUGGUGGCAACACUGCUCUUCUCGACAAGCUCUCACAGCUCUACAGUCGCUUCCAACUGUAACAGCGUAAAUUCCAGCACACCAGACUUUUCAAGGCCUGUGCGAAUGCAUUGAGAAAGAGGUCUCUGGAAACACCUGCAGUAACGAAGUAAUUUAAGACUUUCGUGCGCUACCGUUUAUGAGAAGCACAGCGAGCUCCAUGAGCAGCAAAGGACCCCCUACAAACAAAGACAUUGAGAAGAUGGAAACAAAAACUAAGAGAGAAAUACCUGUGAGAGUGAGCUCAUGCGAGACAAGCACCACAAUCCUUCCACGCAUAAAAUGUAGGCCAUGGGAAGGAGUAUCGCGCCGCUCCCUCACUCACCAAAAGAAGCCCUAGAAAUCCAAAUGCCGCGACCCCCGAGCUUGAGAAGCGAUCGCAAUCCCACCUUGCGCUUGAUCGCUCCUAUUCCCGUCUAAAGAACAAAGAAAAAGAUCUGCAAUCCUGACCGUUCAAACUCAGCGUUGGCGAUUAUGCCAAGUGGCAACCGAUUUUAACAAAUGCAAACCUUAAUUGAGUCUUUUCAAAUGGUGGGCGCGAAUUGUAAUGAAAGACUUUGGCCUGGAGCCGCGCGGUCUUUGUAUCUAUCCACACACUCUCGACGCUAUAUAAACACCACAUCUCUUACAAUCCCCCACACUCUCUCUAGUGCUCCUUUGUUCUUUCGCUUUGGUUUGCUCUUUCUCUCUUCUCCAAUUCCAAUCAAUCAAUCAAUCGAUUGACCGAUUGCUAUGGCAAGCAGCAAGACUCGAUUGGUGUGCCUGGGCCUGGUUGUGAUGUUUGUGAUGCUCCUGGCGGUGGGAGUGGAGGUCGGGGGGAUCACCAAGGCGGUGGCGCAGCGCUGCCGCAGGGGAUGGUACUGGAAUGGAUCUCGCUGCGUGCAAUGCAAUUGGUACUGGUAUGACAACGGCUGCCAUCGAUGCCAGCGUGGGUGGCGCUGGAAUGGCAGCCGCUGCGUCAAUUAAGGAAAGUUUGUGAGUGAUCUCUGGGGCCUGGAACCAUGGGAGCGAAUGUCGAAUGGGUGAAGAAGUACAUAGAAUAAAACUGUGGCUUCGAAACGGGAAUGUUUUGGAGUCCUUGUGUGAAAUCUAUUCCGAUGUUCAGGCUCUGAGAUUAUCAAUGAUAAAUAUGGUGUGUUUUCUGGAAAGUGGUUGUCGCAGUGUAACGUUCGCAAAAUGCAUGCAUUUUUAAUAUAUAACUUUGCAUGCGAUUUCAUA
RNAcentral lists this long non-coding RNA (5672 nucleotides) under Selaginella moellendorffii. Its description in RNAcentral is "long non-coding RNA (SMOE_LNC001884)". The record is from RNAcentral. Lineage: Eukaryota; Viridiplantae; Streptophyta; Lycopodiopsida; Selaginellales; Selaginellaceae.